UUUGUACACACCGCCCGUCGCUACUACCGACUGAAUGGCUCAGUGAGACCCUGGGGCUGGCUCAGAGAGGUCGGCGACGACCACUCAGAGCCGGAAACUUGGUCAAACUUGGUCAUUUAGAGG
This 123-nucleotide ribosomal RNA is filed under the name Phialophora sp. Its description in RNAcentral is "partial small subunit ribosomal RNA". It matches the Rfam family "Eukaryotic small subunit ribosomal RNA", at positions 1659 to 1779 of the family's 1831-position model. Lineage: Eukaryota; Fungi; Ascomycota; Eurotiomycetes; Chaetothyriales; Herpotrichiellaceae. The record is from RNAcentral.